UGGGGAAUAUUGCACAAUGGGCGCAAGCCUGAUGCAGCAACGCCGCGUGAACGAUGAAGGUCUUCGGAUCGUAAAGUUCUGUUGCAGGGGAAGAUAAUGACGGUACCCUGUGAGGAAGCCCCGGCUAACUACGUGCCAGCAGCCGCGGUAAUACGUAGGGGGCUAGCGUUAUCCGGAUUUACUGGGCGUAAAGGGUGCGUAGGUGGUCUUUCAAGUCGGUGGUUAAAGGCUACGGCUCAACCGUAGUUAGCCUCCGAAACUGGAAGACUUGAGUGCAGGAGAGGAAAGUGGAAUUCCCAGUGUAGCGGUGAAAUGCGUAGAUAUUAAAAAGAAUACCGGUGGCGAAGGCGACUUGCUGGGCACAAUCUGACGCUGAGGAACGAAAGCGUGGGGAGCAAACAGG
This 403-nucleotide ribosomal RNA is filed under the name Verrucomicrobiota bacterium. RNAcentral describes it as "Verrucomicrobia bacterium partial 16S ribosomal RNA". It matches the Rfam family "Bacterial small subunit ribosomal RNA", at positions 355 to 776 of the family's 1533-position model. Lineage: Bacteria; Pseudomonadati; Verrucomicrobiota. The record is from RNAcentral.